UACGGAGGGUGCGAGCGUUGUCCGGAAUCACUGGGCGUAAAGGGCGCGUAGGCGGCCACUCAAGGGUGCGGUGAAAGCCCGGGGCUCAACCCCGGGUCGGCCGUGCCGACUGGGCGGCUCGAGCACCGUAGGGGCGGGUGGAAUUCCGGGAGUAGCGGUGGAAUGCGUAGAGAUCCGGAAGAACACCGGUGGCGAAGGCGGCCCGCCGGGCGGUAUGCUGACGCUGAGGCGCGACAGCGUGGGGAGCAAACAGG
Molecule: ribosomal RNA, 254 nt
Filed under: uncultured bacterium
Lineage: Bacteria
Description: partial 16S ribosomal RNA
Rfam family: Bacterial small subunit ribosomal RNA
Source: RNAcentral